GAUGAACGCUGGCGGCGUGCCUAAUACAUGCAAGUCGAGCGAAUGGAUUAAGAGCUUGCUCUUAUGAAGUUGGCGGCGGACGGGUGAGUAACACGUGGGUAACCUGCCCAUAAGACUGGGAUAACUCCGGGAAACCGGGGCUAAUACCGGAUAAUAUUUUGAACUGCAUGGUUCAAAAUUGAAAGGCGGCUUCGGCUGUCACUUAUGGAUGGACCCGGGUCGCAUUAGCUAGUUGGUGAGGUAACGGCUCACCAAGGCAACGAUGCGUAGCCGACCUGAGAGGGUGAUCGGCCACACUGGGACUGAGACCCGGCCCAGACUCCUACGGGAGGCAGCAGUAGGGAAUCUUCCGCAAUGGACGAAAGUCUGACGGAGCAACGCCGCGUGAGUGAUGAAGGCUUUCGGGUCGUAAAACUCUGUUGUUAGGGAAGAACAAGUGCUAGUUGAAUAAGCUGGCACCUUGACGGUACCUAACCAGAAAGCCACGGCUAACUACGUGCCAGCCGCCGCCGUAA
RNAcentral lists this ribosomal RNA (515 nucleotides) under uncultured bacterium. Its description in RNAcentral is "partial 16S ribosomal RNA". It matches the Rfam family "Bacterial small subunit ribosomal RNA", at positions 28 to 523 of the family's 1533-position model. The record is from RNAcentral.